AGAGUUUGAUCCUGGCUCAGAAUCAACGCUGGCGGCGUGCCUAACACAUGCAAGUCGAACGCGAAAGUGGAGCAAUCCAUGAGUAGAGUGGCAAACGGGUGAGUAACGCGUGGGUGACCUGCCUUCGAGUGGGGGAUAACGUUCCGAAAGGGACGCUAAUACCGCAUGACAUCCUGCCUUUGAAGAGGCGGAGAUCAAAGCCGGGGAUCGCAAGACCUGGCGCUUGUUGAGGGGCCCGCGUCUGAUUAGCUAGUUGGUGGGGUAACGGCUCACCAAGGCAACGAUCAGUAUCCGGCCUGAGAGGGCGGACGGACACACUGGGACUGAGACACGGCCCAGNACUCCUACGGGAGGCAGCAGUGGGGAAUUGUUCGCAAUGGGCGCAAGCCUGACGACGCAACGCCGCGUGGAGGAUGAAGACCUUCGGGUCGUAAACUCCUUUCGAUCGAGACGAACGGCUUCCGGGUGAACAAUCCGGAAGAGUGACGGUACCGAGAGAAGAAGCCCCGGCUAACUCCGUGCCAGCAGCCGCGGUAAUACGGGGGGGGCAAGCGUUGUUCGGAAUUACUGGGCGUAAAGGGCUCGUAGGCGGCCAACUAAGUCAAACGUGAAAUCCCUCGGCUUAACCGGGGAACUGCGCUUGAUACUGGAUGGCUUGAGAUUGGGAGAGGGAUGCGGAAUNCCAGGUGUAGCGGUGAAAU
This 701-nucleotide ribosomal RNA is filed under the name uncultured bacterium. RNAcentral describes it as "bacterial SSU rRNA". It matches the Rfam family "Bacterial small subunit ribosomal RNA", at positions 8 to 687 of the family's 1533-position model. The record is from RNAcentral.